AGGAGGAAGGUGAACAUGGAUUUCUUCGAGACACUCAAAAGUAGGCUCGACUAUGGCAGCAUUGGUCAGUCAAUCAAUCCAGAGAGCAAAAGACCAUGGGUCACACUGGUAACUGCACAAAGCUGCAACAGAAGCUCAGGCUCACCAGAGAGGGAACGGAGAAUGAAGGAUGGUGAUCAGACACCCAAAGAAUUACCUCAAAACACUAACAAGACUCCAGCAGAAGCAACAUCCAGCGCAGCCGAAGCAAAGCAUCAGAGGAAGAGGACAUGGGCCACUUUUGUAGCCUCACAUAGUGGGACAAGAACACCAGGCACUGGCUCACCAAAGAG
Long non-coding RNA from Scatophagus argus, 332 nucleotides. RefSeq lists it as uncharacterized. The record is from RefSeq and is a predicted model, not a curated record. The transcript is spliced from 3 exons. Lineage: Eukaryota; Metazoa; Chordata; Actinopteri; Scatophagidae.